This is a long non-coding RNA of Harpia harpyja (harpy eagle), 1537 nucleotides long. RefSeq lists it as uncharacterized. The record is from RefSeq and is a predicted model, not a curated record. Lineage: Eukaryota; Metazoa; Chordata; Aves; Accipitriformes; Accipitridae. The transcript is spliced from 2 exons.
AAAUUUUAUUUCGUUCUGGUUUGUUUUGUGACUGAAUGGCAACUACCACUUUGCACUGACUGAAAACCUGUAUCUUCUUUUCUAGAUCAAGUUGCGUGUGUUUUAGCAUGCCAUCCUUCUUCAAUAAAACAAACUGUAAUCACUUUGAAGUGGAAGAUGUUCCAAGCAACAGAAAGAACCAGCUGUCUGUGAUGAUGGAGAAUCACUGGUGUAGUGCGGUCUGGUCUAAAUAGUCUUUCUUGGACUCAGUGGGCAUCAUGCUGUUGGCAGUUCUGCAAGUGAACAUCAAAAGGCUCAGCCUCCAGCUGAUACCAUGGUGGCUUGGAAACAGCACCCUGGAACCUCUUAUCAUCUUCAUGCCAGAUGUUUCACAGAAACUAAGCAGCUCAUGGAACUUCAGUAAGAAAGAGCAGGAACUUCUGGUAUGUUCUGUUAAAGCGUAAUAGCUAAUCUCUCAAUACACAAUGUACUUACUGUCCAAUUUAUAAUGUAGUCCAUUGCCUCCCUACCUUUAGUUUAUUCCCUUGUAGGGUAGUAACUGUGCUAGACCAAUUAGCAAGUGGAAUGGUCUGCAGCUAAGUAACAGACACUGAAAUCUACUUUUCUGAGGAAGGUUUUUCAUCUGAAACUAGACAGUAACCUAUUUAAAAAAUCAAAGUUAAAUCCCUAGCUUUUCAUUGGGACCACCAAAUGUGCCAAAUUCAUUACUUGCUGAAUGACCAUUAAAUCUGCUAAUUGAUUGCUCCCUGGGUUUGUUUCUGUGUUCUUAAAACUAAAGCUUAGCCUGCAUGCCUCAAGAUGGAACAAGGUUAUACAGAGCCAGGGAAAUGGAGUUUAGCACCACCCUGUAUGUUUGUGCCUCUUAUUGUGCCUUCCAAAUUGUCUGUUCCCAGCUUAGAUCCAUUUAUGUAUUAUUUUCCACAUUGUAUUUCCUUUCAAUCCAAGCACUUUUGUAGUCAAUACUGGCCACAGAUGUAACAUAAGGCUCUGCUUGUUUUAACUGGGUGGGGAGCAAGGGGAGGAGAGAACAGAGACAAAAAAACAAACAAACAAAAAAACCAAACCAAAAACCACCAACCAGACUUUAGUGAUCAGAUUAGACUGAAAGAUAUUUAUUUAGAAACAACAGCUUUGGUAUUUUAAAACCAAACGACCUUUAAAUCACUAGAAAGUGGGAUAUCUCCCCCCAUAGCCAAAACAAAUCAAUGCACAAAGUCUCAAUCUGCUUAGACUAGGAAACCUGCACAUCAGCAUUUCCAAGUGUAAAUCCAGAAAACAAUUUCAUUAAAUUGGUUUUGCACUCUACAGUAAUAAAGGCUGAAAAACCUGUUACCAGCACUUAGAUAUCUACAGUUCAAUUGACUGCCUUGUAACUGAAGUGGAGGCAAAAUUAUCAACAUCCUCCCCCUCCCCCCAAGCAAUAAAUUAAAAAAUGUAUACCAGAAAGGAAGUUACACUAAAGUUUUCUAGUUAAGUUAACUCUCUGAAGGGAAUCACCAUACUUUAUGUUCCUGUAAAAUUAAAAAAAAAAAAAUAA